UUUAAAUGGCCGCAGUAUAUUAACUGUGCAAAGGUAGCAUAAUCAUUAGUCUUUUAAUUGAAGGCUGGUAUGAAUGGUUGGACGAGAUAUUAACUGUUUCAUAAAAAUUUAUAUUAGAAUUUUAUUUUUUAGUUAAAAAGCUAAAAUAUAUUUAAAAGACGAGAAGACCCUAUAAAUCUUUAUAUUUAUGUUGUUAUAAUUUUAUAGAAUUUUUUUGUUGUAAUAAUUUAUAAUAUUUUAUUGGGGUGAUAUUAAAAUUUAAUUAACUUUUAAUUUUAAAAAAUCAUUAAUUUAUGAAUAAUUGAUCCGUUAUUAACGAUUAAAAAAAUAAGUUACUUUAGGGAUAACAGCGUAAUUUUUUUGGAGAGUUCAUAUCGAUAAAAAAGAUUGCGACCUCGAUGUUGGAUUAAGAUAUAAUUUUAGGUGUAGUCGCUUAAAUUUUAAGUCUGUU
Molecule: ribosomal RNA, 451 nt
Filed under: Protocalliphora azurea
Lineage: Eukaryota; Metazoa; Arthropoda; Insecta; Diptera; Calliphoridae
Description: partial 16S ribosomal RNA
Rfam family: Bacterial large subunit ribosomal RNA
Source: RNAcentral